GGUGGUUCUCGGAUGAGGCAUCCCAGAAUCAGGCUCCCUCCUCUCUGGUUCCAGGUGCUGUCACCUGAGAACCACA
Molecule: non-coding RNA, 76 nt
Organism: Myotis lucifugus (little brown bat)
Lineage: Eukaryota; Metazoa; Chordata; Mammalia; Chiroptera; Vespertilionidae
Source: Rfam